CCUACGGGAGGCAGCAGUGGGGAAUUUUGCGCAAUGCUCGUAAGAGUGACGCAGCGACGCCGCGUGAAUGACGAAGGCCUUCGGGUCGUAAAGUUCUUUCGACAGGGAAGAAAAUGCCUAUAAGUAACUGUGUAUGUAUUGACGGUACCUGUAUAAGCAGCCCCGGCUAACUCCGUGCCAGCAGCCGCGGUAAGACGGAGGGGGCGAGCGUUGUUCGGAGUGACUGGGCGUAAAGAGCACGUAGGCGGUGUUGUAAGUCAUUAGUCAAAGACUAGAGCUCAACUUUAGUAAGGCUAGUGAUACUAUAAUACGAGAGUAUCAGAGAGGAUUGCAGAAUUCCUGGUGUAGCGGUGAAAUGCGUAGAUAUCAGGAGGAAUACCGUUAGCGAAGGCGGCAAUCUGGCUGGAAACUGACGCUGAGGUGCGAAAGCGUGGGUAGCAAACAGGAUUAGAUACCCCAGUAGUC
Molecule: ribosomal RNA, 465 nt
Filed under: uncultured bacterium
Lineage: Bacteria
Description: partial 16S ribosomal RNA
Rfam family: Bacterial small subunit ribosomal RNA
Source: RNAcentral